RNAcentral lists this long non-coding RNA (789 nucleotides) under Mytilus galloprovincialis (Mediterranean mussel). Lineage: Eukaryota; Metazoa; Mollusca; Bivalvia; Mytilida; Mytilidae. The record is from RNAcentral.
UCUGUGUAGGAAGGGGUUAGUGUAAACAAUCAUAUAAUUUUUAUGACCAAACGGCUAAGCACCGAUUUUGAACUGAAAAAAGCUUCCACGCGUCUUGUUUCGAUAAAGUGGUACUCCAUGUCUCUAUCAGGUGUAUUGCGAUAUUUUAAUAUUGCUCGUUGUAAUAAAACUAGAUGUUCAAGUUAAGUUUGCCGUUUUGUUCAGUGUUAUGAGUGAUUAAACGUUUAACUGUUUUACGCCAACUUCAGCUCUGCAAUUGCUAUGCGGAAAAACAACCUAUGAAAGGCGAUGAUGCACUCACCAUAUUUUUAGAAAUUGUCUUGUUUUAUAUAUGCAAUAAAUUCCGUCUGAAGAUAAGUCAUCAAAUAUAUUCUUCGUAUGCAGUCAAUAAGGCUAUGUGCACCAUUGUGUGCUCCUUCGAUGAUUGACCAUUUACAAUAUCUGUCCUACGACCAUCAGGUAAUUGACACUUUAAAUUGGAAGGUGUUAGUGCAUGGAGCACUUGGUUGUGAUGGUGUCAUCGGUUAUUUUAACGAUUCUGCCCUUGACAUCAUUGAUGUUAUACCUUAUUGUGCCGAGUUUAGUAUUGCAAGACAUUUUUCUGGAGGGCAGGUGGAAUAACGAUUCGAUCCUCAUACAUGAACAAAUCAUGUAAUUUGUACAGGUCUUUGGAAGAAUUCACGAAUUUCAGUUUAAGCAUUUCUUGGCGGAAGUCAUUCGUUUCAUUUUCGAUUAUUUUUACCAGUUUAACCAUAAUUUUUAUCAUCGUUACUGUUGGUAGCAACACGC